AGCCCUGUGGUGUAAGACACAUUGAAUUGCAAAUUCAAAGGAGCAGCUUCAAUCCUGCCGGGGCUU
This 66-nucleotide transfer RNA is filed under the name Myotis davidii. RNAcentral describes it as "tRNA-Cys". It matches the Rfam family "tRNA". Rfam says of the family: Transfer RNA (tRNA) molecules are approximately 80 nucleotides in length. Their secondary structure includes four short double-helical elements and three loops (D, anti-codon, and T loops). Further hydrogen bonds mediate the characteristic L-shaped molecular structure. tRNAs have two regions of fundamental functional importance: the anti-codon, which is responsible for specific mRNA codon recognition, and the 3' end, to which the tRNAs corresponding amino acid is attached (by aminoacyl-tRNA synthetases). tRNAs cope with the degeneracy of the genetic code in two manners: having more than one tRNA (with a specific anti-codon) for a particular amino acid; and 'wobble' base-pairing, i.e. permitting non-standard base-pairing at the 3rd anti-codon position. Lineage: Eukaryota; Metazoa; Chordata; Mammalia; Chiroptera; Vespertilionidae. The record is from RNAcentral.